RNAcentral lists this ribosomal RNA (253 nucleotides) under uncultured bacterium. RNAcentral describes it as "partial 16S ribosomal RNA". It matches the Rfam family "Bacterial small subunit ribosomal RNA", at positions 524 to 776 of the family's 1533-position model. The record is from RNAcentral.
UACGUAGGGUGCGAGCGUUGUCCGGAAUUAUUGGGCGUAAAGAGCUCGUAGGCGGCUUGUCACGUCUGCUGUGAAAACUCGGGGCUCAACCCCGAGCCUGCAGUGGAUACGGGCUAGCUAGAGUGCGGUAGGGGAGACUGGAAUUCCUGGUGUAGCGGUGAAAUGCGCAGAUAUCAGGAGGAACACCGGUGGCGAAGGCGGGUCUCUGGACCGAUACUGACGCUGAGGAGCGAAAGCGUGGGGAGCGAACAGG